Molecule: ribosomal RNA, 426 nt
Filed under: uncultured beta proteobacterium
Lineage: Bacteria; Pseudomonadati; Pseudomonadota; Betaproteobacteria
Description: bacterial SSU rRNA
Rfam family: Bacterial small subunit ribosomal RNA
Source: RNAcentral
GGGGAAUUUUGGACAAUGGGCGCAAGCCUGAUCCAGCCAUGCCGCGUGAGUGAAGAAGGCCUUCGGUUUGUAAAGCUCUUUCGCAAGGGAAGAAAACGUUUGGGCUAAUAUUCUGCGCGGAUGACGGUACCUUGACAAGAAGCACCGGCUAACUUCGUGCCAGCAGCCGCGGUAAUACGAAGGGUGCAAGCGUUAAUCGGAAUUACUGGGCGUAAAGCGCGCGUAGGUGGUUUGGUAAGAUGGAUGUGAAAUCCCCGGGCUCAACCUGGGAACUGCAUCCAUAACUGCCUGACUAGAGUACGGCAGAGGGGGGUGGAAUUCCACGUGUAGCAGUGAAAUGCGUAGAGAUGUGGAGGAACACCGAUGGCGAAGGCAGCCCCCUGGGCCUGUACUGACGCUCAUGCACGAAAGCGUGGGGAGCAAACA